AUCUAUUAGGUUGGUGCAAAAGUAAUUGUGGCUUUUGCCAUUACUUUUGAUUGCAAAAACCGCAUUACUUUUGCACC
MicroRNA precursor from Rhinopithecus bieti (black snub-nosed monkey), 77 nucleotides. Lineage: Eukaryota; Metazoa; Chordata; Mammalia; Primates; Cercopithecidae. The record is from Ensembl.